AUUGAACGCUGGCGGCAGGCCUAACACAUGCAAGUCGAGCGGAUGAAGGGAGCUUGCUCCUGGAUUCAGCGGCGGACGGGUGAGUAAUGCCUAGGAAUCUGCCUGGUAGUGGGGGAUAACGUCCGGAAACGGGCGCUAAUACCGCAUACGUCCUGAGGGAGAAAGUGGGGGAUCUUCGGACCUCACGCUAUCAGAUGAGCCUAGGUCGGAUUAGCUAGUUGGUGGGGUAAAGGCCUACCAAGGCGACGAUCCGUAACUGGUCUGAGAGGAUGACCAGUCACACUGGGACUGAGACACGGUCCAGACUCCUACGGGAGGCAGCAGUGGGGAAUAUUGGACAAUGGGCGAAAGCCUGAUCCAGCCAUGCCGCGUGUGUGAAGAAGGUCUUCGGAUUGUAAAGCACUUUAAGUUGGGAGGAAGAGCAGUAAGUUAAUACCUUGCUGUGUUGACGUUACCAACAGAAUAAGCACCGGCUAACUACGUG
This 484-nucleotide ribosomal RNA is filed under the name uncultured bacterium. RNAcentral describes it as "partial 16S ribosomal RNA". It matches the Rfam family "Bacterial small subunit ribosomal RNA", at positions 30 to 507 of the family's 1533-position model. The record is from RNAcentral.